GACGAACGCUGGCGGCGUGCUUAACACAUGCAAGUCGAACGGAAAGGCCCUGCUUUUGUGGGUUGCUCGAGUGGCGAACGGGUGAGUAACACGUGAGUAACCUGCCCUUGACUUUAGGAUAACUUCAGGAAACUGGGGCUAAUACCGGAUAGGAGCUCCUGCUGCAUGGUGGGGGUUGGAAAGUUUCGGCGGUUGGGGAUGGACUCGCGGCUUAUCAGCUUGUUGGUGGGGUAGUGGCUUACCAAGGCUUUGACGGGUAGCCGGCCUGAGAGGGUGACCGGCCACAUUGGGACUGAGAUACGGCCCAGACUCCUACGGGAGGCAGCAGUGGGGAAUAUUGCACAAUGGGCGGAAGCCUGAUGCAGCAACGCCGCGUGCGGGAUGACGGCCUUCGGGUUGUAAACCGCUUUCGCCUGUGACGAAGCGUGAGUGACGGUAAUGGGUAAAGAAGCACCGGCUAACUACGUG
This 468-nucleotide ribosomal RNA is filed under the name uncultured bacterium. RNAcentral's name for it is "partial 16S ribosomal RNA". It matches the Rfam family "Bacterial small subunit ribosomal RNA", at positions 28 to 507 of the family's 1533-position model. The record is from RNAcentral.